This 245-nucleotide ribosomal RNA is filed under the name uncultured archaeon. RNAcentral describes it as "partial 16S ribosomal RNA". It matches the Rfam family "Archaeal small subunit ribosomal RNA", at positions 474 to 718 of the family's 1478-position model. The record is from RNAcentral.
UACCGGCGGCUCGAGUGGUGGCCGCUUUUACUGGGCUUAAAGGGUCCGUAGCUUGAUUCAUGGGUCCCUUGAGAAAUCCCUCGGCUUAACUGAUGGGCGUUCAGGGGAAACUGUGUAUCUAGGGACCGGGAGAGGUGAGAGGUACUGCCGGGGUAGGAGUGAAAUCCUGUAAUCCCGGUGGGACGACCUAUGGCGAAGGCAUCUCACCAGAACGGCUCCGACAGUGAGGGACGAAAGCUGGGGGA